This 615-nucleotide ribosomal RNA is filed under the name Pseudomonas putida. Its description in RNAcentral is "bacterial SSU rRNA". It matches the Rfam family "Bacterial small subunit ribosomal RNA", at positions 66 to 675 of the family's 1533-position model. Lineage: Bacteria; Pseudomonadati; Pseudomonadota; Gammaproteobacteria; Pseudomonadales; Pseudomonadaceae. The record is from RNAcentral.
GCGGAUGACAGGAGCUUGCUCCUGAAUUCAGCGGCGGACGGGUGAGUAAUGCCUAGGAAUCUGCCUGGUAGUGGGGGACAACGUCUCGAAAGGGACGCUAAUACCGCAUACGUCCUACGGGAGAAAGCAGGGGACCUUCGGGCCUUGCGCUAUCAGAUGAGCCUAGGUCGGAUUAGCUAGUUGGUGAGGUAAUGGCUCACCAAGGCGACGAUCCGUAACUGGUCUGAGAGGAUGAUCAGUCACACUGGAACUGAGACACGGUCCAGACUCCUACGGGAGGCAGCAGUGGGGAAUAUUGGACAAUGGGCGAAAGCCUGAUCCAGCCAUGCCGCGUGUGUGAAGAAGGUCUUCGGAUUGUAAAGCACUUUAAGUUGGGAGGAAGGGCAUUAACCUAAUACGUUAGUGUUUUGACGUUACCGACAGAAUAAGCACCGGCUAACUCUGUGCCAGCAGCCGCGGUAAUACAGAGGGUGCAAGCGUUAAUCGGAAUUACUGGGCGUAAAGCGCGCGUAGGUGGUUUGUUAAGUUGGAUGUGAAAGCCCCGGGCUCAACCUGGGAACUGCAUUCAAAACUGACAAGCUAAAGUAUGGGUAGAGGGUGGUGGAAUUUCCUGUG